UUCUAACUAUUUAUAAAGGAAAGAAACGUGGACGCUUACAUCGCGAGAAGACGGCGGUCGCGUUCUCGUUCAACGUCCAGGGAUCGCCAUCGAAGAAGGGAAAGAAGACGAAGUGACGACAGCAGUCGCCAUCGACGUCACCGUUACUAUGACGACGAAUCAAGCCGCCGACGUCACAGAAGAAGCAACAGCAGUGUCAGCAGCUACAACAGUUUUGAAAGUUCUGACAGCAGCGACGAGGAAAAUACAAUUACUAACGCGACCCCAGCCACUUCCACAGCCCAUCGAGCACCAUCUUCGACGUCCAGUUCGACUUCACACGAUUCAGCAAGCGUGGGCGUUCAAGACGCUGGCAAUUCCCCAAUUCGUUGGUUGGAAACGGAAAAAUCUCCCCCAAAAGCGGGAGGCAAUAAAUUAGGCAAGAUCGAUAUCGCUGCUAGGAAAGGUUGGAUGCCAAGUCUUGGUCCUCAGAUGUUUGAUAUUGGUAGCCAAGAAAGAUUGGACAAGCAAGACACGCUACCAGGUUACGGCGAAACCGAUAUAUAACAAAAACUGCACAGUAGAGGUCCGUAUAUAAACAUGUCACUACACGACUACAGGGUGCUCGGAAAGCAACUGCGAACUUGCAUAUAGUACUGUGGGGGAAGAUGGGACACCUUUAGCACAUAAUACCCAAAUAUCCUGAUCGCAUUUCAAACAAUUAACAUCGGUCUAUGGGAGUCGUGAGGAUACGAUUUUAUAAUUAAUUGAAUGUUCUUUGUUAACUACCAAAUGGGACGAGAAAAUAGAAUUAAAAGAAAGUGACCCCCGUAAGCAUCAAUACAGGCUUGGACCCUUCUUAUUUUAUUUCUAAACACCUCAAUCA
This is a non-coding RNA of Ciona intestinalis (vase tunicate), 865 nucleotides long. NCBI's taxonomy places the organism in Eukaryota, Metazoa, Chordata, Ascidiacea, Phlebobranchia, Cionidae. The record is from RefSeq and is a predicted model, not a curated record.